UACAGAGGGGGCAAGCGUUAUUCGGAAUUAUUGGGCGUAAAGCGUGCGCAGGCGGUGAUGUAAGACCGAUGUGAAAUCCCCGGGCUUAACCUGGGAACUGCAUUGGUGACUGCAUUGCUCGAGUAUGGCAGAGGGGGGUGGAAUUCCACGUGUAGCAGUGAAAUGCGUAGAGAUGUGGAGGAACACCGAUGGCGAAGGCAGCCCCCUGGGCCAAUACUGACGCUCAUGCACGAAAGCGUGGGGAGCAAACAGG
Molecule: ribosomal RNA, 253 nt
Filed under: uncultured bacterium
Lineage: Bacteria
Description: partial 16S ribosomal RNA
Rfam family: Bacterial small subunit ribosomal RNA
Source: RNAcentral